GUAUUCAGCAUUUCACUGUAAGGUCUACUACACCUGUUGUAUUCAGCAUUUCACUGUGAGGUUUACUACACCUGUUGUAUUCAGCAUUUCACUGUGAGGUCUACUACACCUGUUGUAUUCAGCAUUUCACUGUAAGGUCUACUACGCCUGUUGUAUUCAGCAUUUCACUGGAAAGGUCUACUACACCUGUUGUAUUCAGCAUUUCACUGUAAGGUCUACUACACCUGUUGUAUUCAGCAUUUCACUGUAAGGUCUACUACACCUGUUGUAUUCAGCAUUUCACUGUAAGGUCUACCUACACCUGUUGUAUUCAGCAUUUCACUGUAAGGUCUACCUACACCUGUUGUAUUCAGCAUUUCACUGUAAGGUCUACUACACCUGUUGUAUUCAGCAUUUCACUGUGAGGUCUACUACACCUGUUGUAUUCAGCAUUUCACUGUGAGGUCUACUACACCUGUUGUAUUCAGCAUUUCACUGGAAAGGUCUACUACACCUGUUGUAUUCAGCAUUUCACUGGAAAGGUCUACCUACACCUGUUGUAUUCAGCAUUUCACUAAGGUCUACUACACCUGUUGUAUUCAAGUCUACUACACCUGUUGUAGUCAGCAUUUCACUGUAAGGUCUACUACACCUGUUGUAUUCAGCAUUUCACUGUAAGGUCUACUUCACCUGUUGUAUUCAGCAUUUCAC
Molecule: long non-coding RNA, 690 nt
Organism: Oncorhynchus tshawytscha (Chinook salmon)
Lineage: Eukaryota; Metazoa; Chordata; Actinopteri; Salmoniformes; Salmonidae
Source: Ensembl